UACGGAGGGUGCAAGCGUUAAUCGGAAUUACUGGGCGUAAAGCGCGCGUAGGCGGCUUGGUCAGUUAGGUGUGAAAUCCCAGGGCUCAACCUUGGAACUGCAUCUAAUACUGCCAAGCUAGAGUAUGUUAGAGGAAUGCGGAAUUCCAGGUGUAGCGGUGAAAUGCGUAGAUAUCUGGAGGAACAUCAGUGGCGAAGGCGGCAUUCUGGAACAAUACUGACGCUGAGGUGCGAAAGCGUGGGGAGCAAACAGG
This 253-nucleotide ribosomal RNA is filed under the name uncultured bacterium. RNAcentral describes it as "partial 16S ribosomal RNA". It matches the Rfam family "Bacterial small subunit ribosomal RNA", at positions 524 to 776 of the family's 1533-position model. The record is from RNAcentral.